RNAcentral lists this ribosomal RNA (253 nucleotides) under uncultured bacterium. RNAcentral describes it as "partial 16S ribosomal RNA". It matches the Rfam family "Bacterial small subunit ribosomal RNA", at positions 524 to 776 of the family's 1533-position model. The record is from RNAcentral.
UACGUAGGGCGCGAGCGUUGUCCGGAUUUAUUGGGCGUAAAGAGCUCGUAGGCGGCUUGGCGCGUCGUCCGUGAAAACCUGCAGCUCAACUGCAGGCUUGCGGUCGAUACGGGCAGGCUAGAGUUCGGUAGGGGAGACUGGAAUUCCUGGUGUAGCGGUGAAAUGCGCAGAUAUCUGGAGGAACACCGGUGGCGAAGGCGGCAUCCUGGACCAACACUGACACUGAGGAGCGAAAGCCAGGGGAGCAAACGGG